Molecule: ribosomal RNA, 253 nt
Filed under: uncultured bacterium
Lineage: Bacteria
Description: partial 16S ribosomal RNA
Rfam family: Bacterial small subunit ribosomal RNA
Source: RNAcentral
UACGUAGGGUGCGAGCGUUAAUCGGAAUUACUGGGCGUAAAGCGUGCGCAGGCGGUUCGUUGUGUCGGUGGUGAAAUCCCCGGGCUUAACCUGGGAAUGGCCAUGGAAACUGGCGAACUGGAGUGUGGCAGAGGGGGGUGGAAUUCCGCGUGUAGCAGUGAAAUGCGUAGAGAUGCGGAGGAACACCGAUGGCGAAGGCGGCAUCCUGGACCAUGACUGACGCUGAGGAGCGAAAGCCAGGGGAGCAAACGGG